Molecule: long non-coding RNA, 694 nt
Organism: Pezoporus flaviventris
Lineage: Eukaryota; Metazoa; Chordata; Aves; Psittaciformes; Psittacidae
Exons: 2
Source: RefSeq, a predicted model, not a curated record
UAUUAUCAAGAGCUUCAAAACCAGGUGGACACAUCCCAACUGCUUUUUGGGAUUGGCACUUGUCCUGCUAUGCUGAGCAAGACCUUGUUCUGUUACUGUAAGACCUACUGAUAUAGAAGUCGGGUUUGAGUUUUCCAUCUACAUCCUCCAGCCUCUACAGACGGUUAUACUUCAGACACAUCCCCAAAUAUCAAUAUAGCAAAAAAAAAGAAAGGAAGUGAGAAGGAACACAUCUCUUAAUGAUGUAAAAACCUUUUUAAAGGACUGCAGUUGGAUAUUUUUUAGUAUAAAGUGACUCCUUUGGGACCUACCCUUGGUAUAAACUUGUGCUGAUAUACUCUAAUAUCUAAAAUAAAUCUGAAGUUGAGGUUAUCCUUUUGAGCUCAAUCUUAUGAAACAUGGAGUACCAUCCCACCUGGAACGAUCAUGUUUCUUUAUUCCACCUCUGGGUGCAACUGAAGAUCUUACUGACCUGUUCUAUAAGGCUGAACACUAUGUACCCAUCUUUAUAAUGCUUCUGUUGUGAAUGUUGGAGGUGGCUCUGACACUUGACUUUUCUCUCAUGAGAAAUGUGGACUACAAAGAUCUUCCAGAACAGCCUCUUCUUAUAAAUAAAUACAUUUUCAACAAAAUUCCCUUGAAAUGUGACAAGUACUUUCACCUGUUCACUGAAGUGCAUAUCAUAAUAUCUGUA